RNAcentral lists this long non-coding RNA (259 nucleotides) under Elaeis guineensis (African oil palm). Its description in RNAcentral is "long non-coding RNA (EGUI_LNC073729)". Lineage: Eukaryota; Viridiplantae; Streptophyta; Magnoliopsida; Arecales; Arecaceae. The record is from RNAcentral.
CCUAGUGGAGAUGUUCUAGCCAUGGACUGGAACAAAAGACAAGGAAAUGAAGAAGAUGGCAGGGAGGGAGACGGUGAAGAUGGGGGAGGCCCUUAAAAGAAAAUUUGAAAGGAAGGAAGGCGGAGUACCUGGAACUACGCACGCAGAGUUUCGACAGCAAAGUGGGGGGGGAGGUAAAAACUGAAUAUGGGCGAUCCUGUAUAUAUAGUACCCUCCGACUGUCGAGAUGAAGGCAUGACCAACGAGGAGUCCCCAGAUC